RNAcentral lists this ribosomal RNA (440 nucleotides) under uncultured bacterium. RNAcentral's name for it is "partial 16S ribosomal RNA". It matches the Rfam family "Bacterial small subunit ribosomal RNA", at positions 338 to 795 of the family's 1533-position model. The record is from RNAcentral.
CCUACGGGUGGCAGCAGUAGGGAAUAUUGCUCAAUGGGGGAAACCCUGAAGCAGCAACGCCGCGUGGAGGAUGAAGGUUUUAGGAUUGUAAACCCCUUUUGUUAGAGAAGAUUAUGACGGUAUCUAACGAAUAAGCACCGGCUAACUCCGUGCCAGCAGCCGCGGUAAUACGGAGGGUGCAAGCGUUACUCGGAAUCACUGGGCGUAAAGAGUGCGUAGGCGGGGUAAUAAGUCAGAUGUGAAAUCCUGUAGCUUAACUACAGAACUGCAUUUGAAACUGUUACUCUGGAGUGUGGGAGAGGUAGGUGGAAUGCUUGGUGUAGGGGUAAAAUGCGUAGAGAUCAAGAGGAAUACUGAUUGCGAAGGCGACCUGCUGGAACAUUACUGACGCUGAUGCACGAAAGCGUGGGGAGCAAACAGGAUUAGAUACCCGAGUAGUC